GUGAACUCUACAGUGGGAAAGAGGAAACAGCCAUGGCAGAGAGAUGAUGCUCCAUCCUCCUAAACACUAGUUCCCUCUUCUCAUCUACCUGGCACUUCCAGGCUGACUGAGCAACAUCUCAUGACUUCACCCACCGAGUCUCACCAUGAUCCCCUGAGGCAGACAGAUGAAGAUCAUUUCCCCCAUUUUACAGGAUGUUUCGUUUUGCAACGCUAAGCUCUUUCUGAAGAGUUUUGUACUUCAUCCUGAGAGUUGUUGAAUAAAAGGAACUGGUUAUUUUAGUGCAUCAGGCAUAAAAGAAAACACACCUGCUCUGCACCCUGGGAGGUAAGGGGAAGAGAAGUGAUUGCUGGCUGAACAUGAGAGCCUUCUGGAGAAGAAGUCCUCUGUGAUAUGUGUGGGACCUGUGGGGAACCCCUAGGUGAGAAAGGUAGGGACCCUGCCUCAGAGAAACAGAGCUGAGAGAGACAGGUGAAUUCUCAUCCAACACAGAGCAUGAUAUUCAUUAUUUUAAUGAUAAAAGUGACACUGAUAUGAUAAAAAAAAAAUGAAGCCAGUGAAAACAGAUGCAUGAAGAGCAAAACUAAAUGAAGUCAAGGACUGACUAACUCAACUCCCUAAAUGCAGGGGCUAGAAAUGAACAGCCAUUGCCCUGGGGAGGGGAAGACAUGUUGGUGGAGAAGUCUUCUGAAAUUGGAACUUGAGCUGAGGUAGAGGCUAAGUUUGGGGAGAGAUUCAGAAAGAAGACACUCCAGCCUGGGGCUGCUACAUCAGCAAAGUCAUGAUUGGAAUGUCAAGUAUUAAGAGUGUAUACGUCUGCUUGUGCUGCUAUAACAAAAUUGCCGCAGACUGGGAGGCUUGCGGUAUGAGAGGCUAGGACUCAAGGCCAAGGUGUCAAGAAUCUAUUUCUGGUGAGAACUCCCUUGCUGGGUUGCAGACGGCUUCCUUCUCAUUGUGUCCUCACAUGGCAGAGAAAGAAUGAGCUCCUGUCUCUUCCUCUUCUUCUAAGGACAAUACAUCAUGGCAGCCCUACAUUCACGAUGUCAUCUAAACCUAAUUACUUCCCAAGGACCCCACUUCCAAAUAUCACAUUGGGGGUAAGGUUUCAACACACGAACUUGAGGGGUGGGGAAAAAAACAUUUAACAGAGAUUAAGGUCAUAACAGAGACUAAGGUCAUGGGCGAGAUGCGUGAAAUAGGGAAAGAAACUCUAACUUUGCAGGUGACUUGCCUUUUUCCAGACCCUGUCUUCCCUCUGCUCCUUUAUGGCUUUAAUUCUAGCUCAGGUAGGGGCAAUCAAACCUAGUGCUGGAGAAAAAGUAGCUCUUGAGAUGCCUUCAAACAAUUCAGAAUCCUGGGCGCUGCCGCAGAUGGACUCUUGGGACAGAGUCUCUUGGGACAGAGCCAGAGAAAAAUCUGCAUUUGUUUGUCUGUUUGUUUUCUCAAGUGAUUGUUUUCAUUGAGGUAAAAUUCCCACAACAUAAAAUUGACCAUUUUAAAGUGGCACUUAGAUAGAUUCAAAAUGUAUGCCAGCUCUCUCGAGCUCCAAAACAUUCAUCAUCCCCCAAAGAAACUCCUUAGCCAUUAAAAAGGAACUCCAUAACCCAUGCUCUCCCCCCAGCCCCUGGAAAGCACUAAUCUGCUUUCUGUUUCUAUGGCGGUGCCGACUCUGGUUACUGCGAAUAA
This is a long non-coding RNA of Talpa occidentalis (Iberian mole), 1686 nucleotides long. RefSeq lists it as uncharacterized. The record is from RefSeq and is a predicted model, not a curated record. The transcript is spliced from 3 exons. NCBI's taxonomy places the organism in Eukaryota, Metazoa, Chordata, Mammalia, Eulipotyphla, Talpidae.